CCGAAGUUGAUCCGAUAAGCAAUUUUUGUUGGCGCAAUCUUCUUUCGCUGGCCGGGAACAUACUGGCCAUGAAUCGGCGAAAUCUGUAUUAUUACAAUCUGGCAACGUUUAAUUAUAAUUUACGCCUCUCUUCAUCUCUCCUCCCUUCUUCUUCUUCUCGCUGUCAGUUCCCUCGCCAUUUUAUCGUCUGCUGAAGCGUGAUUUGCAUGAGCAGCGUGUAGUUUCUGUUCUCUGACAGACUUGCUUAUUCCCAUUCUUGUGGUCAGUUACGAUAAUUUAGUGAUAUUUCCGUCAUUUAUAUCAGUUGAAGUCCUUCGUGACAUGAUUUGAUUGUGAGGCAUUGUAACUGUAAGGCAUCGUGAUUCAUGCUCUUUCCUUCAAGUCAUUGGUGGGUUGUCAUCUUGUACGAGUGAUUAUCACCCUCUAUUCUUUGUACAUGAGUAUCCUGUUAUUCCCAGGAACCAAAAUAUACACAAGUCCAUUACUGACUUUCUAGUCGGUACAGUCAGCUGCUUACAACAGCUGAUGCACCCACUCAUUUCCAGGUUCUCGUCUAGUGAGAACAUUUGGUCCUUCG
This is a long non-coding RNA of Daphnia pulex (common water flea), 577 nucleotides long. RefSeq lists it as uncharacterized. Lineage: Eukaryota; Metazoa; Arthropoda; Branchiopoda; Diplostraca; Daphniidae. The record is from RefSeq and is a predicted model, not a curated record. The transcript is spliced from 4 exons.